RNAcentral lists this ribosomal RNA (406 nucleotides) under uncultured bacterium. RNAcentral describes it as "bacterial SSU rRNA". It matches the Rfam family "Bacterial small subunit ribosomal RNA", at positions 355 to 776 of the family's 1533-position model. The record is from RNAcentral.
UGGGGAAUAUUGCACAAUGGGCGAAAGCCUGAUGCAGCAACGCCGCGUGAGCGAUGAAGGCCUUUGGGUCGUAAAGCUCUGUCCUAGGGGACGAACACAAUGACGGUACCCUUGGAGGAAGCCCCGGCUAACUACGUGCCAGCAGCCGCGGUAAUACGUAGGGGGCGAGCGUUAUCCGGAAUUAUUGGGCGUAAAGAGUACGUAGGUGGUCUUUUAAGCGCAGGGUUUAAGGCAAUGGCUUAACUAUUGUUCGCCCUGUGAACUGGGAGACUUGAGUGCAGGAGAGGAAAGCGGAAUUCCUAGUGUAGCGGUGAAAUGCGUAGAUAUUAGGAGGAACACCAGUGGCGAAGGCGGCUUUCUGGACUGUAACUGACACUGAGGUACGAAAGCGUGGGGAGCAAACAGG